CACGAUAUGGGUCAGGUAUGUCCUCACUAUCUACUACUGCAGGAGCACAGGGAUCACGAUAUGGGUCAGGUAUGUCCUCACUAUCUACUACUGCAGGAGCACAGGGAUCACGAUAUGGGUCAGGUAUGUCCUCACUAUCUACUACUGCAGGGGCACAGGGAUCACGAUAUGGGUCAGGUAUGUCCUCACUAUCUACUACUGCAGGAGCACAGGGAUCACGAUAUGGGUCAGGUAUGUCCUCACUAUCUACUACUGCAGGGGCACAGGGCACAGGGAUCACGAUAUGGGUCAGGUAUGUCCUCACUAUCUACUACUGCAGGGACACAGGGCACAGGGAUCACGAUAUGGGUCAGGUAUGUCCUCACUAUCUACUACUGCAGGAGCACAGGGAUCACGAUAUGGGUCAGGUAUGUCCUCACUAUCUACUACUGCAGGAGCACAGGGAUCACAAUAUGGGUCA
Oncorhynchus keta (chum salmon) is the source of this 460-nucleotide long non-coding RNA. RefSeq lists it as uncharacterized. NCBI's taxonomy places the organism in Eukaryota, Metazoa, Chordata, Actinopteri, Salmoniformes, Salmonidae. The record is from RefSeq and is a predicted model, not a curated record. The transcript has 3 exons.